CGAAUUCAGAUUUCCAUUUUUCCUUUAAGUUCAUCAUUGGUAUGAAAUACUAUUAGAAGGAUAAAUGUUGUUGUGUUUUUGUGGAUGCUGCACAUUUAAGUGUGUUUGUUCGGGAAAAUUAGACUAAUUUUGUUGUCAUUACAUUAUGUAUUGUCUGUACAUGAGCUAAGGAUUCCCAGUAAUCUUUCCUUUUUAGUAAUAUCAAGAAGGUAGGGAUGAAGUUAUACUCAUUUUUCUUUCAGAAAUAGGAUUAUAGAUAAGAUAACGCGUCAUAAUCGCUUAUCUCCAUCCUUAAAUACCGACUAUCAAGAAUUAACUGAUUGAAUGGUUUCCAGAUUUAAUUGUUGCUCUAAAGAUUUUGACUCUGUUGGGUGACGUCUAUAUAGGGAUUUCAUGUAUACUCAUGUGAAUAGCAAGACGUUCUUGCCUCACAGGCCCUCUACCCAGUUUUAAUUUUCUUCCCUUUAAUAUUUAUUUAAUAGGACCAUGAAAUCACUAUGAGUUCAAAUUCGAUAGAUCCUUUAAGCCUUUUUUCUUCCAAAAGAAGGCCAUGGGUAUAUGUUUUGUCAUAUUUUGAUAGAACCUAGUCUACACUUAUCUAAAGAUGCUUGAUUUUGAUUAUUUUCUUUGAGGAGUCCAAGAUCGGAUUGCUUCUCGUACUAUCUGUACUAGUCUUUUCCUUGUCUAUUUGAUCCUAUCCCAUGUUAAAUGUCUUUGGCUGAAAUAUAGGAUAAUUAGUCUUUUAUGGGCUAGGAGUGUUAAAAUUUGGUUUGAUAUAGUAAGAAGCAUCACCACCUGCUGGAACCAUGCUUUUGGUAUAACAUCUCCCUUCAGAACUUGUGCAGGGAAUUCUUUAUCCUUCUGUGACCUUUUGUUUAUUGUAUUCACUGUUUUGUCCAUGAAUAUAUCUUCACUUCUUAAGUAGAUUAUCUAGGUAUUUUCAAACCAUGCGCAAUAUAACUUAUUGAAUUAAGCGAGAAGUUAUUUUCAUUCUAGUUGCCUCAUUCUGUUCGGAUUGUUAUAUGAACCUGUCUAGGCUUUGCAUCAGAUCGAUUGACUUUCAUUAUUAUCAUGUGCAUAAGUGUGUGCAUCAUUAUCAUUCAAAACUUAGUCCUUGAUGUUUCUUUAUUUUGAGGUAUGUUACGUCUCGAAUGGGCAUUAAUUUAUUCAUCUUUUCUUUGCAUGAACUCUCUUCGGAGUCCAAUUGGACUCUUUUGCCUUGUAUCAUACAACGGGCCAGUGAGGCCCACCCUUUAGGAGAAUUUGGAUACCAACCUCAUAGAAUAUGGAUACAAGGAUUCAAAAGGAGAAGAAGGGGUUAAAGUCCCAUAUUUGAAGCGGCUACGAGACCUAAAAGUCGCGUUUGUUAUUUACCUAUUGUCGUCUUUAUUUAUGAAUUCAUUUCUUAUUUAUUUGGGCCUCGAAUCCAAUGUUGUAUUUAAUACAGGGGGAGCAAGACUCGAGCCAAAGGCUCGAAAAAUAUUUUAGGACAAGUGAAAUGGGUCGGAAAUCCAACUAGACUAAGACAGGUCACGUUGAUUUGGGCCCAAUGGCCUAAAUCCUUUACUUUCUCCUCCCUUCUCCUUUUAUGUGUUUAUUUAUUUAUUACUAUUGUUUAGACUUAGUUAAAAUCCCUACUAAGUCGCCUAAAUCUAUUUUACACAAGUCUUUUUUUGAAAAAAAUCAAAUCACUAUAUGAACAAAUUAAUCUUUUCGAAGUUAAUCAAAAGACGAUUUUCAAAUAGUCCAGAUAACCGCAAGUUAGCGGACGUUUUAGGUGCCUAACACCUUCCUAAAACGUUAAUAGGAACCACUUAUCUAGAAUCUCUUAACUUAAAUGAUUUUUCUAUUUUAGAUCGUUUAAAGUGUUUUAUAAAGGUUUCUUAAUUCCUUUUCAAAAUUAAGUGGCGACUCUCUUUCAAAAGUCAAAAUUUCUCCACAAAAUAGUGAUAGCGACUUUGCUGGGGAUUUUUAACUAGGCUCUAACCAAAUGUUUGAUUUCGUCUUUUGAUUGAAUGUUUAUGUGUUUAUGUGUUUUGAUGCUGUAGAAUUUAAAUAUCUCAUCUCAUGGCAUAUUCCUACAUUAUUUAAACUGUUUUGGGGUUUCGUCGGUAUCCCAGCUUCUAUUGAUCAAUUCCAAAAAUGUGUUGGAAAUACAAAUAGUUUAUUAGCACGUGAGUCGUCUAAUGGCUGUUUGUAUUUUCAAACUCAAGUUGUCUACUUGAGAACCAGUGUUCUAACCCACUCUAGACACCGAGGAUAGAACUAAACCAAAACCCUAUUUUCGGUAUGAGCCUAGGACGACAUAUAUCGAGUCUUGGGAAGGUGUCAAAUCAAAAAUCAUUUCUUUUAAGGUUGCAACCUAAUAUUACAUUGGUGGAUGAUGAAGCAUUUGGUACAGAAUUUGAGAAUGGUACAACCUGAUCAUAAAACAAGGGUGGAUAUGCUAGCUUCGCACGACAUGUGGUUGUUUCUACAUAGGUUCAAAAGGGAAGCAUCUCACGAAUUUUGGUUUAAGACUUUCGGGGAAUUAAGAGAUAACGAUGUGAAAUGGUCCAUUAACUCUCUUUUUUCAGGGAAAUACACCGUUCGAGGGGGUAAGUGGCCUUUCCUAGUGCUUUCCGGUCUCAGGGGGACCCGACCCUACAAUCCUGGCAGAGUUCUUAGGCAAUUCGAGAUCAAGCAGGAGGCACCACAAAUAGAUUCCAUGCUUAAGUUUUUCACUGAAUACGAUGAAAGUGAAUCUCCUCUCAAAGACGAAAAGAUAAAUGGAUGGAGAAAAAGAAGGUGGACGAAAGUGAUUUUCUGUAUAGAGCAUGACCCUGAAGUCAGCGACACUUACAAGGAGUGGUUGAAAAAGAGUCUUCCCGGAGCAUUGAUUCUGGGACCGAAUGUGCCCACUCAGGUUGUGGAUGUAGAAUCCAAGCAUCAAAUUUAGCUUCACAGGCAACAAGAUGAGUUCCAGAAAAGUGAAAUCGUGCACCGGCAGAUGCACAUGGAGGACACUUUGACCAUCGCAUAUUAAGGGAAGAGUUGAAAAGAGCUAGUCAAGACACAUAUUUUGUAGGUAUUUAUGCCCUUUUUUGUGUCUAUAUGAGUUGGGGGUUAAUGGAUUGACUUUGAGGAAGCACAUAUUUUCUUCAAAAAAUUGUUAGGCCUGAACCCUUGGCUCAAAAAGGGUCACCCCAACUAGGAUACGCGUCAUUAUAAUGUUUUAUGUAAUAUAACUAUUUUAUGUUCUUAUGUGCAUUUGUUAAGAUCAAAGGCAAGUUUAUCGACUAUGUCCUACGGAUGAAUUUGACUAUGACUGGAACAACUCUGUGUGGUUAUUUCCUGUCAAAUAUUUUGCAUUACUUAUUACAUACAGAAACUAAUGCAUUUGCCUUUGAGUUGUUCUACUUUGCAGAUAAUAGAAAUUACUCUGUGUUGAUAUAAGCUGGCAGAACAUCCCUACUUCACCCGAUCGAAAGCGUACAAAAUCCCAUCCUCUGACCAUCAUCCAUAAAUGAUAAGAAAUAAUGAAGAGAGCGCACUGACUAUCCGGGAUAAUGUGAUAGCGGAACAGAAUGAAAUGAUUGCGGAACUUUUAAGAAAGUUAGAAAUGCUUCAGGAGGAAGUAAAUCGCACUCGAAAUUUGGGUAACUUGGCCAUCACCAUCAAUGCCUCCGCUCCAGACGAACACAGGACUCUACUCUAAAUCUCUCUCCUAAGCACCCCUAUUCUCGGGGAUUAUCCAAAUAACAUAUCGUUCAUCUCUGCUCCUCCAUUCAUCCAAAAUAUCAAUCAUGAAAAUAACCUAGACACCUACCAUCCGCAAAACCCAUCUCUAACCCCACUAAAUCCAUCUCCAAAUACAUUCACAAAUCCUCAAAACACAUUUUCAAAUCAACAAAAUGUAUUCCCAAAUCCGCAAAUUCACUCCCAAACAUAUAAAACAUAUCAAAUCUACCUUCGAAUCCACCAAAUUCAUUUUCACAUCCUCGAAAUCUUUCUCAUAUUCAGCCAAACUACUCCCAAGGUCCAUGGAACCUUCCCAAUUUCCAAAAUAUCCUCCCUACUUACCAACCAAAUUCUCCUCAUCUGCAAAAUCAAGCCUCCCUUCCAAAUCUCUCUCACGCCAUCAUAUCCCCUGAUAUCUAUAAUCCCCUUCCUCAUCUCGAGAUAGACCAUUAUAAGAAGAAGAAGAAAGAGUAGAGGACCAAGCAUAAACUGAAGUUGCUAGCUAUGAAUGAAGAGAUCAUUAGGAUCAAUGAAUCUCAUGGAGUGAGGGACCACGACGGUUUAGGAUAUGAUGAUUUAUGUGUUCACCCGGGAGUAGACCUACCAGAUGGGUACAAAGUCCCUAAGUUUGAGAUGUUUGACGGUACCAAAAAUCCAAUGGCCUAUCUAAGAAGGUAUUAUGAGCAAUUAGUAGGUAUAGGGAAAAAUGAGGCGUUAUUGAUACGCCUAUUCAGUCGAAGUUUAAGUGGCAAAGCCUUGGAGUGGUUCAUGUCUCAAGAGCCAAAAAAGUUGACUAGUUGGAAAACAUUGGCCAAGGGUUUCCUUGACCGGUUCGCAUUUUACAUCGAAAUAGUCCCUAACCGGUACUCACUAGAUUGGAUCAAACAAAAGAGCAUUGAGAGUUUUUGAGACUAUGCUUUUCAUUGAAGGAAAGAAGCUGCCAAAGUGCAACCCCCCAUGUCUGAGGAGGAAAUGGUAUUCAUGUUCUCUCGCGCUCAAGAAGGAGAAUAUUAUACCAGGAUGGUGUCCGUUGUCAGAGAAACCUUUGUAAAUUUGGUAAAAAUAGGAGAAUCAUCGGAAGAAGGUAUUCGUACAGGGAAAAUUGCAAAAACCUCGACAUCAUCUGGAACUGCCAUGUUUUCUAAGAAGAAGAAGGAAGAGGUAGGUAUGGUUUCUGCUAAUUCUGUUACAAAAUCAAAACAACGGUUCAACUCUAGAAAUGUUUUAUCUUCCUCGCCGUCACCUAACCUUCCGCAAGCGUUCUACGCCCACCCCUAAUACCAAACUCCACUCCCAAACAUCUAAUCCUCAUACCAAGCUCCACAGCCAAACACCUUUUCCUAAUGCCUAGUUCCACCUCUAAAUUAUCAGUCUCAUUUCCAAACCACUCCUCCAAAUGACCGGACAAAUUUCCAAAUGCCUCCAAAUUAUCUCCAAGUGCCCCCUCCUACAAACCUAAGCCAUUAUAACCCCCAACAUCUAAACUAUGAAAAUAAACCUCCCCGUAACUUCACCCCACUAGCUGAAAGUCGUAUCUAAUUAUUUGAAAGAUUGAGGAAUGCUGGUCAUUUACAACCAAUACAGUCAAAGAAUAUCAAUCCCAACUCUCGAUUUUUUAAUGCAAGUCAAUAUUGUGCCAAUCAGUCGGGGGUACCAGGGCACUGUAUAGAGGAUUUUGUCUACUUGAAACACAAGAUCCAAGAUUUAAUCGAUCAAAAGGUCAUCACGCUCCAGGUACCUACUCUAAAUAUUAGCAGUAAUCCACUGCCCAACCAUAGGGGAUCUACACUUAACAUGAUUGAGAUAGAGGGCGAAUGGGCAUCUGGCAACACCAUUACUCAGGUGAACUCCGAAAAGUGCAAAAGAGCAAAAGAGGUAGGAAAGAUAAAGAAGUCUGUGGUUGCCUUAAGUAUCAGCGAGAAAACCUAAUUUAUAGUGAUAACAGCCCCGACUCAAGUGUAUUCUCCCCCACCAAAUCACUGCUGCCCAAGGGAUGACGUGAUCGGGAUGAUGUUACAUCCCUGAGGAAUUGACCAAUACAAAAGGUUCACAGAAAUGGCCAAUCACUUAAGGAGAGGCUGAGGAAUUUUGGAGGUGUAUGCAACCAAAGGAUUACUCAAUUGUCAAACACUUGGAGAAAAUGCCAGCCCAAAUCUAUGUGUUGGUGUUAUUAAUAAGUUCAUAAUACCACCGACAAGCUUUAUCAAAGGUCUUGGAGGAGGCGUAUGUUCCCACAGGAAUGAGUGUUGAGAACCUAGCUGCAAUGAUAGGGAACAUUGUGGGGAAUUAUCGCAUAUCAUUCAGUGAUGAAGAGUUGUUGUUUGAAGAGGCGAUGCACAACAAAGCCAUGUAUGCCACCAUCAUUUGUCGAGAUUAUGCAAUUAAUCAUGUAUUAAUAGAUGACGGAUCAGGUGUGAAUAUUUGUCCCCUCUCUACGUUGGUUCAAAUGGUAUAUGAUCUUGGGAAAAUUCAUCAAAGCCAUAUAAAUGUGAGAGAAUUCGAUAGAGGGCAGAGAGUUACCAUAGGAGAGAUUGAUUUGCAUAUCCAAGUGGGGCCUGCUGAGUUCAAAACUAAGUUUCAUGUUAUGGAUAUUCAUCCUAGCUACAACCUGCUCUUGGGAAAAUCAUGGAUACAUGGUGAAAAGGCAGUUUCAUCACCCCUUCAUGAAUUAUUAAAGUUUAUUUGGAAAGAUCAUGAAGUAUUCAUCCAAGGAGAAGGAAGUCGAUCGGACCGUCCCAACGGUUAUGUGCCAGUAAUUGAAGAUGUUUCAAAAGGUAGCAGCUUCUAUACAGUGGAAAUUGUAAAUGCUGUAGAUAGAGAUUUGACACUCAAAAUACCAAUGCCUCCUUCUACAAAAUAAUUGCAAUGGUGAUGUUAAGAAAUGGGUUAAAACCUGGUCGAGGUUUGGGCAAGAAUCUGUAAGGAAUUAUUGAGCCAAUUGCAAUCCCAGAGAGAGGCUAUAAGUACGGGUUAGGAUUUCAGUCUGCCAAGACGGAUAGGGUUGAGGAUGAGCCAGAGAAGAGUCUGUUUAGGUCCUUUCCACUCCUGUUCUAGUCAUUUCCUAUAUGAGAAGUACCCGAUGAUGAUGGUCUUGGGGAUAGGAUAGGAGAUUUGUUUGAAGGAUGCAAUACUGUACUAGAAAAUCUCCCAGAGUCCAACGGGGUGAAGCAGAUUGCACCAGGGGAGGCCUUGCAAAAUUGGACCUCCGCUCCACUCAUAACCCAUCGCCCCCCCGUGGUAGAUGAAAGGGCAGUUACUAAUAGUUUUAAAAUCGGUGAUGAUCUGGAGGAGGCCCCGCGAUCCACAUUUUAUAUCUCAAAACUUUCUUUUUGUAUCUUGCUUCUUUCAGAAAGGCAGGGACUUGUAUUUGUGCAAGUCACGAGCCAUAGUUUUUAUUUUUUUUUCAAAAGGCCUCCCUUUAUUUAAGAAGUUAUUUUUUAAAUAUGAUUAUCUAGAAUGGUUUAUUUUGGUAGCAAUAAUUUAAAAACCUGCCAAUGUCAUGUCAUGUUAAGAGUUAGACGAAAAAAGCGAAGAAAAUAAUGAUGAAUAGAAUAAGGUGAUGAGAAACAAUUAGUUAAAGGUAUAGAGGAAUAUGAAAAUCAAAAGAAGCCCAACCUGGAGGAGCCCUAAUCCUACCUAAGAUGGAUGGUCAAGAGUGGACCAAACCAAUCAAUUCUGAUGCGCUAAAGAGAUAUUGUGCUUAAAGAUGUUAUAGUUUUUGUGUUUCCUUAGUUUACUUGUAAUCACCUUUGUAAUAAUGUUGUUUUCUAGUGUGUAAUUGCCUAGAACCCCUUUUCUUUUAUAUACAAACUAGGUUUGACCUGAAUUCCCAUAAAGGGGAUACAUAGGUAGCCUAUGCCGGCUUCGGUCAACCCCAUAGAGAAAUUUAUCCUUUAUUUUUAUGUAUGAACUAUGUGAUGACCUGAAUUCUCGAGAAAGGGAUACGUAGGCGGCCUAUGUCGGCUUCGAUCAACCUAUUAAUUUCUUUUGUAUAUACCUAGAGUAGUCCUGAACUACGUUUGAUUCCUGCUUUAACAGGAUACGUAGGUGCCCCAACGACUCGAUCAUAUAACCCCAGGAAAGGAAAACUGGGGCAGAAUUUUUUAUAACGAAUCUCAAAAAUUAAUAAGAGAAGAUAGACAUCCAAUAAAAAGAAUGAAGAUCAGCAAAGACUUCAGAUCCACUCGGAUUGGUAUCAUCUCAAACAACUUUAAACUGGGAAAGAAAUUUUGAGGAAGACCUCAAAAUUUCCACCAAAUGCCGGAACAUAUUCCAAAUUCCCCAGCACCAGAGGUUAAAGCUUUGGCAGCCACCAACUAUAACAAAGUCUGGGUAGACUUAAUUUUUUCCUAUGAUAGAACUACUUGAAGAAACCCUCCAACAAUGAUCAUGAGUUUUGGAAACCAUCCAUCGAAUACAGUCAAAACCACAAGGAAGACAUUCUUUGAGCUAGUACAUGACAUGACUAGAAGAGAUUUUCUAAAGUUUUACAGAAGUUUUCAAAAUUAUUUUCAAAAAUUUAAGACUAUUUUCCAAAAAUCUUACGACUUACUUAUUUAGUAUUUGCCUAGACAUCAUUUGGGAUGGAGUGUUAGGGUGGAAGUCCCGAUAUGGUGGAAUGCCCAAGAGAUAGAAAGGAGCAAAUCAGGGAUCGAAGGAGGUCAACACGGAGUAAUUUCAUUCAAACUAAUCAUUUUUCUGUGGAUGCAGGGUUCAAUAUACAAAAUGAGGGUCUCUUUUAAAAAUCCCCGAGCAAAAUGGGAGCCACAACAGAGCAUUAAUACCCAAGAAUGGUAUUUUAGGGUAGCCCUAAAAAUAGGUUUAACGGCCAUUUAUUGAGGACCUUUUGAUUUGUCGUAUUUACACAUAUCGUAUUUAGAAGUUUCCUAAAAAUUGUCUCUAGUAAAAGCGACUUUGUGUCUACUAAUCGCCUACCUUGAGUACAGGUACAUGUAGAAAGCAGGACGCUGACAAAUGAAAUCAGGUAAAAUUACACAUCAUAGCCACAAGGCAUUGCCUCAAGGGCUAUUGCAUAUCGUUUCCACAAUGACUAUUGCAUAUCAUCACCAUAAUGCCUAUUGCAUAUCAUCGCCACAAUGGCUAUUGCAUAUCAUCGCCAUAAUGGCUAUUGCAUAUCAUAGCCCUAAUGGCUGUUGCAUAUCAUCGCCACAAUGGCUAUUGCAUAUCAUCGCCACAAUGGCUAUUGCAUAUCAUCGCCACAAUGGCUAUUCCAUAUCAUUGCCAAUGGUAUUGCAUAUCAUCGCCACAAUGGCUAUUGCAUAUCAUCGCCCCGAGGGCUAUUGUAUAUCAUCGCCCCAAGGUCUAUUGCAUAUCAUUUCCAUAAGGGCCAUUACAUAUCAUUUCCGUAAAGUCCAUCUCAUACCAUCGCCCUAGAAGGAAUACAAUAUGUAUUGACACGCUAAAUAGAAAUACUGGCAUCGAGGAUAUCUCAUCAUUUCAUGAAUCAACAUAUGAAUGCAUCGAGGGUACAUGAUUUGAAGGGACACCUUUAAGUCGCUAUCUAAGGAUGAAUGAUAUAUAAGGUUUCCUGGAAAUUGACAAUUUAAGGGAUUAUCUAUAAGUCAUAUUAUUUGAAAUAGGAUAGUGUGCAAGAUCACCUAUGAGUUUAUAGCCUGUACGUCAUCCGUAAGCCACAACAACAUCCUAAUCGAAUAGUGUACAAAAUCACCUGAAAAUCGAUAGUUCAAAAGUUAUCCAUAAGUCACAACUAAAUCCUUACCGAAGAAUAUGCAAGAUUACCAAAUUGAUACAUCCAAGGGUUCUCUAUAAGCCGCGUCAUAUCCAAGAUCAAUUAUGUGUAGGAUUACCCAAAGACUAACAAUUUGAGAGAUUAUCUAUAAGUCAUACUGUAUCCAAGGUCGGAUGAUAUGCAGGAACACCUGAAAGCUAGCAAUUGGAGGGAUAUCUGUAAGCCAUCUCUUAUCCAAAGUCGUAUAAACUACAGGAUUACAUAAAAGCUAGAAAAUCAAAGAAUAUCUGUAAGUCACCUCAUAUCCAAUAUCAUAUAAUACGCAAGAUUAUCCAAAGAUUGAUAAUUUAAGAAAAAAUUAUAAAUCGAUCAUCGGCCUUUUUUACUUUGGUGUCAUGAUCUGUCGCCCACUCUUGGUGUUAUUGUGUAACUUUCGGCCUAUGCUUCACUUGGUGUAUGGAUGGUGAUUGGAAGGGCUGGUUUGUUAGGCAAAGUUUGUGACUUUGAUUGUAUUCCAUAGUUUUAGUCAACGAUGUUUGGCUUGUAGUUGUUAUCUGAUCGUGUUUGUUCAAGAUCGUUGCUGGAUUGUGGUGUCAUUGUUGUGCUAGAAGUGUUGCUAGCAGAGCUACCUCUCAAGUUCCUUUGGCUUCUUAUAUGCGCAAAAGACAAUGAGCAAGGUCCAAAAUAUGCAAGAAAAUCCUAGGAUUUCUCGAUGACUAUUUUGUUUGAGUUGGUCAGAGCGAGGAGAAAGAUAGAGACAAUAUUCCGUUUGUCUUGCUUUUGUUGUUUUUCGUUAUUAUAAAUAUUGUGCCGAUAAUACCGUUAGUAGGAUUUCCUCUUGAGUUAUUUGCCUUCCAAAAUGCCAAAGAAUAACGAGGAUAAGUUCUCCAAAAAUAGAAAAAUCCUGUGAUUCUUCGGUAAUUAUUUUGGCUACCAAAAGCUUAUCUUUUGGGUUUGUCGAAGAGAGAGAGAGAGUGAGGAUGAGGAUAAUAUACUCUGCCACAUGAUUUUUUCAGUCUGUGGAUUAUACCUUUCUUUUGGUUUCAAAAACCUGAAUUCAGAUUUCCAUUUUUCCUUUAAGUUCAUCAUCGGUAUGAAAUCCUGUUAGAAGGAUAAAUAUUGUUGUGUUUUUGUGGAUGCUGCACAUUUAAGUGUGUUUGUUCAGGAAAAUUAGACUAAUUUUUUUGUCAUUACAUUAUGUAUUGUCUGUACAUGAGCUAAGGAUUCCCAGUAAUCUUUCUUGUUCAGUAAUAUCAAGAAGGUAGGGAUGAAGUUAUACUCAUUUUUCUUUCAGAAAUAGGAUUAGGGAUAAGAUAACGCGUCAUAAUCGCUUAUCUCCGUCCUUAAAUACC
Molecule: long non-coding RNA, 10782 nt
Filed under: Capsicum annuum
Lineage: Eukaryota; Viridiplantae; Streptophyta; Magnoliopsida; Solanales; Solanaceae
Description: long non-coding RNA (CANN_LNC016257)
Source: RNAcentral